This 71-nucleotide transfer RNA is filed under the name Marmota monax (woodchuck). Its description in RNAcentral is "tRNA.Ala". It matches the Rfam family "tRNA". Rfam says of the family: Transfer RNA (tRNA) molecules are approximately 80 nucleotides in length. Their secondary structure includes four short double-helical elements and three loops (D, anti-codon, and T loops). The record is from RNAcentral. Lineage: Eukaryota; Metazoa; Chordata; Mammalia; Rodentia; Sciuridae.
GGGGUUGUGGCUCAGGGGUAGAGCACUCGCCUAGCAUGUGUGAGACCCUGGGUUCAGUCCUCAGCACCACA